RNAcentral lists this ribosomal RNA (497 nucleotides) under uncultured bacterium. Its description in RNAcentral is "partial 16S ribosomal RNA". It matches the Rfam family "Bacterial small subunit ribosomal RNA", at positions 28 to 507 of the family's 1533-position model. The record is from RNAcentral.
GAUGAACGCUGGCGGCGUGCUUAACACAUGCAAGUCGAGCGAACAGACGAGGAUCUUGCUCGUCUGACGUUAGCGGAGGACGGGUGAGUAACACGUGGAUAACCUACCUAUCAGAGUGGGAUAACCUCGGGAAACCGGCGCUAAUACGGGAUAAUAUAUUGAACCGCAUGGUUGGAUAGUGAAAGACGGUUUUGCUGUCACUUAUAGAGGUAUCCUCGCCGCAUUAGCUAGUUGGUCAGGUAACGGCUUUCCACGGCGACGAUGCGUAGCCGACGUGAGAGGCGGGUCGCCCACCCUGGAACUUAGACAGGGUCCAGACUCCUACGGGAGGCCCCAGUAGGGAAUCUUCCGCAGUGGUCGAAAGCCUGACGGAGCAACGCGGCGUCAGGGAUGAAGGUCUCCGGAUCGUAAAGCUCUGUUAUUGGUGAAGAACAAAUGUGUAAGUAACUGUGCCGGUCUUGACGGUACCUGAUCAGAAAGCCCCGGCUAACUACGUG